AGGCUACAACGGAGGUUAAGAUCAAACUGGAACGACUCUACUAACUGUGCCACUGUGGGUUGCUUUAAUUGAGUGCAACAAACUUGUUUAGUUUUUAGAGAUGCAGCGUGGACCAGCGACCACCCUGUACACCAGUUCUACCCUAAGCGCUAGGGACAAUUUACAUAAACCAAUUAACCUACAAACCUGGACAUCUUUAGAGUGUGGGAGGAAAACGGAGCACCCGAAGAAAACCCACGCAGUCACAGGGAGAACGUACAAACUCCGCACGGACAGCACCCACAGUUUGAGUGACAUCCAACAGAAGGGCAGCAAUGUACCCAAUAUAUUCGGCAAUGAAGACAUCUCAUAUACCUUCUUGGACAUAAAUGCUGGAGAAACUCAGCAUCUAUGGAGCGAAUGAAAUAGGCAACGUAUCGGUUCGAACCCCUUCUUCAGAUAUUUUUAGGCAUCUGCAGUUCCAUCUUAAACACUUAAUCAUAUACCUACUUCACCACUUUGUCUGUCUGGCACUUUCAGCGAUCUGUAUAUUUUGUACUGCAAGAUCUCACUGUUCAAUAAAAAAUCCUUCUGCUAUUUACUGUGUAUGUACAGGCCUGGUUCAAGUCUGGUUGAAGAGGUCAUGGGUUAUGGGGCGAAGGGUGGGAGAAUAUGGUUGAGAGGGAAAGAUAGAUUAGCCAUGAUUAAAUGGCAGAGUAGACUUGAUGGGCUGAAU
Long non-coding RNA from Leucoraja erinaceus (little skate), 715 nucleotides. RefSeq lists it as uncharacterized. Lineage: Eukaryota; Metazoa; Chordata; Chondrichthyes; Rajiformes; Rajidae. The transcript is spliced from 3 exons. The record is from RefSeq and is a predicted model, not a curated record.